UCGGGAAUUUUGGGCAAUGGGCGAAAGCCUGACCCAGCAACGCCGCGUGAAGGAUGAAGUAUUUCGGUAUGUAAACUUCGAAAGAAUAGGAAGAAUAAAUGACGGUACUAUUUAUAAGGUCCGGCUAACUACGUGCCAGCAGCCGCGGUAAUACGUAGGGUGCGAGCGUUAAUCGGAAUUACUGGGCGUAAAGCGUGCGCAGGCGGCUUUGCAAGACAGAUGUGAAAUCCCCGGGCUCAACCUGGGAACUGCAUUUGUGACUGCAAGGCUAGAGUACGGUAGAGGGGGAUGGAAUUCCGCGUGUAGCAGUGAAAUGCGUAGAUAUGCGGAGGAACACCGAUGGCGAAGGCAAUCCCCUGGACCUGUACUGACGCUCAUGCACGAAAGCGUGGGGAGCAAACAGGAUUAGAUACCCCUGUAGUCCCUGAGCGGGCUGGCAAGGCGCAU
This 447-nucleotide ribosomal RNA is filed under the name uncultured bacterium. Its description in RNAcentral is "bacterial SSU rRNA". It matches the Rfam family "Bacterial small subunit ribosomal RNA", at positions 355 to 825 of the family's 1533-position model. The record is from RNAcentral.